This 68-nucleotide transfer RNA is filed under the name Marmota monax (woodchuck). RNAcentral describes it as "tRNA.Ala". The stretch from base 5 to 65 matches the Rfam family "tRNA", at positions 6 to 65 of the family's 71-position model. Rfam says of the family: Transfer RNA (tRNA) molecules are approximately 80 nucleotides in length. Their secondary structure includes four short double-helical elements and three loops (D, anti-codon, and T loops). Further hydrogen bonds mediate the characteristic L-shaped molecular structure. tRNAs have two regions of fundamental functional importance: the anti-codon, which is responsible for specific mRNA codon recognition, and the 3' end, to which the tRNAs corresponding amino acid is attached (by aminoacyl-tRNA synthetases). tRNAs cope with the degeneracy of the genetic code in two manners: having more than one tRNA (with a specific anti-codon) for a particular amino acid; and 'wobble' base-pairing, i.e. permitting non-standard base-pairing at the 3rd anti-codon position. The record is from RNAcentral. Lineage: Eukaryota; Metazoa; Chordata; Mammalia; Rodentia; Sciuridae.
GGAUUGUGGCUCAAUGGUAGAGCACUUGCCUAGCAUGUGUGAGGCCCUGGGUUCAAGUCUCAGUACCG